RNAcentral lists this ribosomal RNA (498 nucleotides) under uncultured bacterium. RNAcentral describes it as "partial 16S ribosomal RNA". It matches the Rfam family "Bacterial small subunit ribosomal RNA", at positions 29 to 507 of the family's 1533-position model. The record is from RNAcentral.
ACGAACGCUGGCGGCGUGCCUAAUACAUGCAAGUCGAGCGGACCGAACAGGAGCUUGCUCUUGUUCGGUUAGCGGCGGACGGGUGAGUAACACGUGGGUAACCUGCCCGUAAGACCGGGAUAACUCCGGGAAACCGGAGCUAAUACCGGAUAACACCGAAGACCGCAUGGUCUUUGGUUGAAAGGCGGCUUCGGCUGCCACUUACGGAUGGGCCCGCGGCGCAUUAGCUAGUUGGUGAGGUAACGGCUCACCAAGGCGACGAUGCGUAGCCGGCCUGAGAGGGUGACCGGCCACACUGGGACUGAGACACGGCCCAGACUCCUACGGGAGGCAGCAGUAGGGAAUCUUCCGCAAUGGACGAAAGUCUGACGGAGCGACGCCGCGUGAGCGAAGAAGGUCGUCGGAUCGUAAAGCUCGGUUGUUAGGGAAGAAGAAGCGUCGUUCGAACAGGGCGGCGCGGUGACGGUACCUAACGAGAAAGCCCCGGCUAACUACGUG